This 412-nucleotide ribosomal RNA is filed under the name uncultured bacterium. RNAcentral's name for it is "bacterial SSU rRNA". It matches the Rfam family "Bacterial small subunit ribosomal RNA", at positions 505 to 916 of the family's 1533-position model. The record is from RNAcentral.
GUGCCAGCAGCCGCGGUAAUACGAAGGGGGCUAGCGUUGUUCGGAAUUACUGGGCGUAAAGGGCGCGUAGGCGGCCUUGUUAGUCGAGUGUGAAAGCCCUGGGCUUAACCCGGGAAGCGCGCUUGAUACUGCAGGGCUUGAGUGUGGGAGAGGUUGGUGGAAUUCCCAGUGUAGAGGUGAAAUUCGUAGAUAUUGGGAAGAACACCGGUGGCGAAGGCGACCAACUGGACCACAACUGACGCUGAGGCGCGAAAGCGUGGGGAGCAAACAGGAUUAGAUACCCUGGUAGUCCACGCCGUAAACGAUGUGUGCUAGACGCUGGAGGACCUAGUCUUUCGGUGUCGCAGCUAACGCUUUAAGCACACCGCCUGGGGAGUACGGCCGCAAGGUUAAAACUCAAAGGAAUUGACGG